RNAcentral lists this ribosomal RNA (253 nucleotides) under uncultured bacterium. RNAcentral describes it as "partial 16S ribosomal RNA". It matches the Rfam family "Bacterial small subunit ribosomal RNA", at positions 524 to 776 of the family's 1533-position model. The record is from RNAcentral.
GACGGGGGAUGCGAGCGUUAUCCGGAAUCACUGGGCGUAAAGCGUCUGUAGGUGGUGAUGCAAGUCACUGGUGCAAAACUCUGGCUCAACCGGAGGAAAGCCAGUGAAACUGCAUGACUAGAGUGUGGGAGAGGUAGAAGGAAUUCCCUGAGUAGCGGUGAAAUGCGUAGAUACAGGGAAGAACACCGGAGGCGAAAGCGUUCUACUGGAACACAACUGACACUGAGAGACGAAAGCGAGGGGAGCGAGUGGG